RNAcentral lists this ribosomal RNA (900 nucleotides) under uncultured archaeon. RNAcentral's name for it is "bacterial SSU rRNA". It matches the Rfam family "Archaeal small subunit ribosomal RNA", at positions 23 to 922 of the family's 1478-position model. The record is from RNAcentral.
GUUACUGCUAUCGGAGUUCGAUUAAGCCAUGCGAGUCUAAAGGUUUCUUCGGAAACCUUGGCGGACUGCUCAGUAACACGUGGAUAACCUACCCUUGGGACUGGAAUAACCCCGAGAAACUGGGGAUAAUACCGGAUAGAUCAGGGAUGCUGGAAUGCACCUUGAUCCAAAGCUCCGGCGCCCAAGGAUGGGUCUGCGGCCUAUCAGGUAGUAGUGGGUGUAACGUACCUACUAGCCAACGACGGGUACGGGUUGUGAGAGCAAGAGCCCGGAGAUGGAUUCUGAGACACGAAUCCAGGCCCUACGGGGUGCAGCAGGCGCGAAAACUUUACAAUGUGCGAAAGCAUGAUAAGGGAACUCCGAGUGCCAACAUCUAAUGUUGGCUGUCCUUGUGCCUAAAACGCACAAGAUAGCAAGGGCCGGGUAAGACCGGUGCCAGCCGCCGCGGUAACACCGGCGGCCCGAGUGGUAGCCACUAUUAUUGGGUCUAAAGGGUCCGUAGCCGGUUCGAUAAGUCCUCUGGGAAAUCUGGUUGCUUAACAAUCAGACUGCCAAGGGAUACUGUCGAACUUGAGACCGGGAGAGGUAAGAGGUACUUCAGGGGUAGGAGUGAAAUCUUGUAAUCCCUGGGGGACCAUCUGUGGCGAAGGCGUCUUACCAGAACGGGUCUGACGGUGAGGGACGAAAGCUGGGGGCGCAAACCGGAUUAGAUACCCGGGUAGUCCCAGCCGUAAACGAUGCUCGCUAUGUGUCAGGUACGGUGUGACCGUAUCUGGUGCCGUAGGGAAGCCGUGAAGCGAGCCACCUGGGAAGUACGGCCGCAAGGCUGAAACUUAAAGGAAUUGGCGGGGGAGCACUACAACGGGUGGAGCCUGCGGUUUAAUUGGAGUCAACGCCGGA